GAUGAACGCUGGCGGCGUGCCUAAUACAUGCAAGUCGAACGCAUUGAGAGAAGUGCUUGCACUUUUCAAUUUGAGUGGCGAACGGGUGAGUAACACGUGGGCAACCUACCUGAUAGCGGGGGAUAACGAGUGGAAACAUUCGCUAAUACCUCAUAACAAUAGGGAAGGCAUAUUCUUUAUUUAAAAGGCGCGCUCAAGCGUUACUCUGAGCUGGGCCCUCGGUGCAUUAGUUAGUUGGUGGGGUGAAGGCCUACCAAGACGAUGAUGCAUAGCCGAGUUGAGAGACUGAUCGGCCACAUUGGGACUGAGACACGGCCCAAACUCCUACGGGAGGCUGCAGUAGGGAAUCUUCCACAAUGGACGAAAGUCUGAUGGAGCAACGCCGCGUGUGUGAUGAAGGCUUUCGGGUCGUAAAGCACUGUUGUAUGGGAAGAAAUGCUAGGCUAGGAAAUGAGCUUAGUUUGACGGUACCAUACCAGAAAGGGACGGCUAAAUACGUGCCAGCCGCCGCAGUAA
Molecule: ribosomal RNA, 516 nt
Filed under: uncultured bacterium
Lineage: Bacteria
Description: partial 16S ribosomal RNA
Rfam family: Bacterial small subunit ribosomal RNA
Source: RNAcentral